AAUAGAUACCCGGGGUAGUCCACGCCGUAAACGAUGAGUGCUAAGUGUUAGAGGGUUUCCGCCCUUUAGUGCUGCAGCUAACGCAUUAAGCACUCCGCCUGGGGGAGUACGGCCGCAAGGCUGAAACUCAAAGGAAUUGACGGGGGCCCGCACAAGCGGUGGAGCAUGUGGUUUAAUUCGAAGCAACGCGAAGAACCUUACCAGGUCUUGACAUCCUCUGACAACCCUAGAGAUAGGGCUUUCCCCUUCGGGGGACAGAGUGACAGGUGGUGCAUGGUUGUCGUCAGCUCGUGUCGUGAGAUGUUGGGUUAAGUCCCGCAACGAGCGCAACCCUUGAUCUUAGUUGCCAGCAUUCAGUUGGGCACUCUAAGGUGACUGCCGGUGACAAACCGGAGGAAGGUGGGGAUGACGUCAAAUCAUCAUGCCCCUUAUGACCUGGGCUACACACGUGCUACAAUGGAUGGUACAAAGGGCUGCAAACCUGCGAAGGUAAGCGAAUCCCAUAACGCCAUUCUCAGUUCGGAUUGCAGG
Molecule: ribosomal RNA, 531 nt
Filed under: uncultured bacterium
Lineage: Bacteria
Description: bacterial SSU rRNA
Rfam family: Bacterial small subunit ribosomal RNA
Source: RNAcentral